CGGAGGGUGCAAGCGUUGUUCGGAAUUACUGGGCGUAAAGCGUGCGUAGGUUGUAUUGAGAGUCAUAGGUGAAAUCCCCAAGCUUAACUUGGGAACUGCCCGUGAGACCUCAGUACUAGAGUAUGAGAGAGGAUUGUGGAAUACCUGGUGUAGCGGUGAAAAUGCGUAGAGAUCAGGUGGAACACCGGUGGCGAAGGCGGCAAUCUGGCUCAUUACUGACACUCAGGCACGAAAGCGUGGGUAGCGAACAGGAUUAGAUACCCUGGUAGUCCACGCCGUAAACGAUGCAUACUAGACGUAGUGGGAUUUACUUCUGCUGUGUCGAAGCUAACGCGAUAAGUAUGCCGCCUGGGAAGUACGGUCGCAAGACUA
Molecule: ribosomal RNA, 372 nt
Filed under: uncultured organism
Description: bacterial SSU rRNA
Rfam family: Bacterial small subunit ribosomal RNA
Source: RNAcentral